UGGGGAAUUUUGGACAAUGGGGGCAACCCUGAUCCAGCCAUUCCGCGUGAGUGAAGAAGGCCUUCGGGUUGUAAAGCUCUUUCGGCAGGGAAGAAACGGCUACGGCGAAUACCCGUGGCUAAUGACGGUACCUGAAGAAGAAGCACCGGCUAACUACGUGCCAGCAGCCGCGGUAAUACGUAGGGUGCGAGCGUUAAUCGGAAUUACUGGGCGUAAAGCGUGCGCAGGCGGUUUUGUAAGACAGAUGUGAAAUCCCCGGGCUUAACCUGGGAACUGCGUUUGUGACUGCAAGACUCGAGUGCGGCAGAGGGGGGUGGAAUUCCACGUGUAGCAGUGAAAUGCGUAGAGAUGUGGAGGAACACCGAUGGCGAAGGCAACCCCCUGGGUCGACACUGACGCUCAUGCACGAAAGCGUGGGGAGCAAACAGGAUUAGAUACCCGGGUAGUCC
RNAcentral lists this ribosomal RNA (449 nucleotides) under uncultured bacterium. Its description in RNAcentral is "bacterial SSU rRNA". It matches the Rfam family "Bacterial small subunit ribosomal RNA", at positions 355 to 796 of the family's 1533-position model. The record is from RNAcentral.